Molecule: ribosomal RNA, 460 nt
Filed under: uncultured bacterium
Lineage: Bacteria
Description: partial 16S ribosomal RNA
Rfam family: Bacterial small subunit ribosomal RNA
Source: RNAcentral
CCUACGGGGUGCAGCAGUGAGGAAUAUUGGUCAAUGGCCGGAAGGCUGAACCAGCCAUGCCGCGUGAAGGUCAGUGCCCUAUGGGCGUUAAACUUCUUUUGUGCGGGAGCAAUAAUGGUCACGUGUGGCCAGACGAGAGUACCGUACGAAUAAGCAUCGGCUAACUCCGUGCCAGCAGCCGCGGUAAUACGGGGGAUGCAAGCGUUAUCCGGCUUUAUUGGGGUUAAAGGGUGCGUAGGCUGUGAGGUAAGUCAGCGGUGAAAUGCCCCCGCUCAACGGGGUGAAGUGCCAUUGAUACUGCCUUGCUGGAAUGCGGAUGCCGUGGGAGGAAUGUGUGGUGUAGCGGUGAAAUGCAUAGAUAUCACACAGAACACCGAUUGCGAAGGCAUCUCACGAAUCCGCGAUUGACGCUGAUGCACGAAAGCGUGGGUAUCAAACAGGAUUAGAUACCCCUGUAGUC